GACGAACGCUGGCGGCGUGCCUAAUACAUGCAAGUAGAACGCUGAAGGAGUAGCUUGCUUCUCUGGAGGAUGUGGGAACGGGGGAGUAAGGAGUAGGUAACCUGCUUGACUGCGUGGGAUAACAAUUGGAAACGAAAGCUAAAACAGCAUAACAGUAGAUCUCGCAUGAUAUCCACGUGAAAGGUGCACUUUCAUCAAUACCAGAUGGAGCUGCGUUGUAUUAGCUAGUUGGUGAGGUAACGGCUCACCAAGGCGACGCUACAUAGCCGACCUGAGAGGGUGGUCGGCCACACUGAGACUGAGACACGGCCCAGACUACUUCGGGAAGCAGCAGUAGGGGAUCGUCGGCAAUGGACGGAAGUCAGACCGAGUAGCGCCGCGUGAGUGAAUAAGGUUUUCGGAUCGUAAAGCUCUGUUGUCAGAGGAGAAAGAGUGUGAGAGUGGAAAGUUCACACUGUGACGGUAUCUUACCAGAAAGGGACGGCUAACUACGUG
This 495-nucleotide ribosomal RNA is filed under the name uncultured bacterium. RNAcentral describes it as "partial 16S ribosomal RNA". It matches the Rfam family "Bacterial small subunit ribosomal RNA", at positions 28 to 507 of the family's 1533-position model. The record is from RNAcentral.